CCUAGGGUUGCAGCAGUGAGGAAUAUUGGUCAAUGGGCGCGAGCCUGAACCAGCCAUCCCGCGUGCAGGAUGACGGCCCUAUGGGUUGUAAACUGCUUUUCUAUGCCAAGAAACCUGAUUACGUGUAAUCAGUUGCCGGUAGCAUAGGAAUAAGCAUCGGCUAACUCCGUGCCAGCAGCCGCGGUAAUACGGAGGAUGCAAGCGUUAUCCGGAUUCAUUGGGUUUAAAGGGUGCGCAGGUGGGCUUGUAAGUCAGUGGUGAAAUGCUGCCGCUUAACGGUAGAACUGCCAUUGAUACUGCGAGUCUUGAGUAUGGUUGAGGUAGGCGGAAUGUGUUGUGUAGCGGUGAAAUGCAUAGAUAUGACACAGAACGCCAAUUGCGAAGGCAGCUUACUAAGCCAUUACUGACGCUGAGGCACGAAAGCGUGGGGAGCGAACAGGAUUAGAUACCCUUGUAGUC
RNAcentral lists this ribosomal RNA (459 nucleotides) under uncultured bacterium. Its description in RNAcentral is "partial 16S ribosomal RNA". It matches the Rfam family "Bacterial small subunit ribosomal RNA", at positions 338 to 795 of the family's 1533-position model. The record is from RNAcentral.